CUUACUGUACUCUAGGAUCAGUCUGCGAAGCCUGUGUAGACUGCCACGACUCAGAUUCUUGCACCAAUACACACACCACCAAGUACUAAGUCGCUUUCGGAUCUAUCGAAUGAUACCUCGCCUGCUCUACCAAGGCUUCUUCAAUGCCUGAAGUUCGCAACUAGCUUAAAUAAAAUAACUAACCCCGCAGAUAAACGUUGAAGAAGACAUCGACUGCUCUGCUGAUGCAGUGGGAGCUGUACUCGCUACAACAGCAAAAAUCUAAAAACUCAACAAACUCCUUUUAAACCAACCAAAUCUUUAAAAAGAAAAGAAGAAGACGCCCAACGCCGCUACAUAGAGAACAUUUUACCAUACAGCACAAGGCAUCCACUAUGGAGGGCCCAUCGAAAACCAAGCUCUCCACUAGAGUCCUGGUUUAAUGGACGCUAGACGGGCUUAUGCACAAAAGGACAAAGCUGCUGCCACAAAACACCCAUAACCUGCUCUGCUCUACAAAAGAUACUUUUCCGUAAGAGUUAUCUCUUGAUUUAUUUUCUGGUACUCCUUCUGGAUUUCUGGCCUUUCUCGAGUAAUCACCUGAAGAUUUUCCAUUUGCCUUGGGCGCUACAGUUGGAACUCUCCUUGCCGACCUGAACGGAAAUAUCUCGGGACCCCCGCAAGCUUCUGGUUUUCUUUGAUCUUAUACGAUUUCUAAAUAACACUUAAAAGCGCGCCAACACAUUUUCGGAACGGCAAAACCUUGCGAACCCUAUUUGUGCCUUACGUACAAAUGAGAACGAAAUGGGUUAUACACCUGAGAUCCAUUGUUUGGAUUAUCUAAAAAAAAAACCCAAGCUUUUCUGA
RNAcentral lists this small RNA (846 nucleotides) under Drosophila pseudoobscura pseudoobscura. Its description in RNAcentral is "GA32836". Lineage: Eukaryota; Metazoa; Arthropoda; Insecta; Diptera; Drosophilidae. The record is from RNAcentral.